This 71-nucleotide transfer RNA is filed under the name Stegodyphus mimosarum. It matches the Rfam family "tRNA". From Rfam's summary of the family: Transfer RNA (tRNA) molecules are approximately 80 nucleotides in length. The record is from Rfam by way of RNAcentral. Lineage: Eukaryota; Metazoa; Arthropoda; Arachnida; Araneae; Eresidae.
GCCUUCGUGGUGUAACGGUAGCACACUCGGCUCAUAUUCGUGAGGUCCAGGUUGGAGCCCCGGCGAGGGCA